GAUGAACGCUGGCGGCGUGCCUAAUACAUGCAAGUCGAGCGAACGGACGAGAAGCUUGCUUCUCUGAUGUUAGCGGCGGACGGGUGAGUAACACGUGGAUAACCUACCUAUAAGACUGGGAUAACUUCGGGAAACCGUAGCUAAUACCGGAUGAUAUUUUGAACCGCAUGGUUCAAAAGUGAAAGACGGUCUUGCUGUCACUUAUAGAUGGAUCCGCGCUGCAUUAGCUAGUUGGUAAGGUAGCGGCUUACCAAGGCAACGAUGCAUAGCCGACCUGAGAGGGUGAUCGGCCACACUGGAACUGAGACACGGUCCAGACUCCUACGGGAGGCAGCAGUAGGGAAUCUUCCGCAAUGGGCGAAAGCCUGACGGAGCAACGCCGCGUGAGUGAUGAAGGUCUUCGGAUCGUAAAACUCUGUUAUUAGGGAAGAACAUAUGUGUAAGUAACUGUGCACAUCUUGACGGUACCUAAUCAGAAAGCCACGGCUAACUACGUG
Molecule: ribosomal RNA, 497 nt
Filed under: uncultured bacterium
Lineage: Bacteria
Description: partial 16S ribosomal RNA
Rfam family: Bacterial small subunit ribosomal RNA
Source: RNAcentral